GAUGAACGCUGGCGGCGUGCCUAAUACAUGCAAGUCGAGCGAACAGAUGAGGAGCUUGCUCCUCUGACGUUAGCGGAGGACGGGUGAGUAACACGUGGAUAACCUACCUAUAAGACUGGGAUAACUUCGGGAAACCGGAGCUAAUACCGGAUAAUAUAUUGAACCGCAUGGUUCAAUAGUGAAAGACGGUUUUGCUGUCACUUAUAGAUGGAUCCGCGCCGCAUUAGCUAGUUGGUAAGGUAACGGCUUACCAAGGCAACGAUGCGUAGCCGACCUGAGAGGGUGAUCGGCCACACUGGAACUGAGACACGGUCCAUACUCCUACGGGAGGCAGCAGUAGGGAAUCUUCCGCAAUGGGCGAAAGCCUGACGGAGCAACGCCGCGUGAGUGAUGAAGGUCUUCGGAUCGUAAAACUCUGUUAUUAGGGAAGAACAAAUGUGUAAGUAACUAUGCACGUCUUGACGGUACCUAAUCAGAAAGCCACGGCUAACUACGUG
Molecule: ribosomal RNA, 497 nt
Filed under: uncultured bacterium
Lineage: Bacteria
Description: partial 16S ribosomal RNA
Rfam family: Bacterial small subunit ribosomal RNA
Source: RNAcentral